AACGUAGGGGGCGAGCGUUGUCCGGAAUUACUGGGCGUAAAGGGCGUGUAGGCGGCUCGUGAAGUCAGGAGUGAAAACCCGGGGCUCAACCCCGGGCGUGCUUUUGAGACCAGCGGGCUUGAGUGCAGGAGAGGGAAGUGGAAUUCCCAGUGUAGCGGUGAAAUGCGUAGAUAUUGGGAGGAACACCAGUGGCGAAAGCGGCUUCCUGGCCUGUAACUGACGCUGAGGCGCGAAAGCGUGGGGAGCAAACAGGAUUAGAUACC
RNAcentral lists this ribosomal RNA (263 nucleotides) under uncultured bacterium. RNAcentral's name for it is "partial 16S ribosomal RNA". It matches the Rfam family "Bacterial small subunit ribosomal RNA", at positions 524 to 786 of the family's 1533-position model. The record is from RNAcentral.